GACGAACACUGGCGGCGCGCUUAACACAUGCCAGUCGAACGGAAAGGCCUGCUUUCCCUUGUGGAUUGCGGGUACUCGAGUGGCGAACGGGUGAGUAACACGUGAGUGAUCUGCCCCCAACUUGGGUAUAAGCCUGGGAAACUGGGUCUAAUUCCCGAUAGGACUGCAGGGUGGUGCCUGUGGUGGAAAACGAUUUUCUAGUGGUUGGGGAUGAGCUCGCGGCCUAUCAGCUUGUUGGUGGGGUAAUGGCCUACCAAGGCGGCGACGGGUAGCCGGCCGGAGAGGGUGGACGGCCACAUUGGGACUGAGAUACGGCCCAGACUCCUACGGGAGGCAGCAGUGGGGAAUAUUGCACAAUGGGCGGAAGCCUGAUGCAGCGACGCCGCGUGGGGGAUGACGGCCUUCGGGUUGUAAACUCCUUUCGACCGCGAGGAAGCCACCUGGUUGGAAGGGUGGUGACGGUAGUGGUAGAAGAAGCACCGGCUAACUACGUG
Molecule: ribosomal RNA, 494 nt
Filed under: uncultured bacterium
Lineage: Bacteria
Description: partial 16S ribosomal RNA
Rfam family: Bacterial small subunit ribosomal RNA
Source: RNAcentral